UACGGGGGGAGCAAGCGUUGUUCGGAUUUACUGGGCGUAAAGGGCGCGUAGGCGGCCAGUGCAAGUCAGUUGUGAAAUCUCCGAGCUUAACUCGGAAAGGUCAACUGAUACUGCUCGGCUAGAGUGCGGAAGGGGCAACUGGAAUUCUUGGUGUAGCGGUGAAAUGCGUAGAUAUCAAGAGGAACACCUGCGGCGAAGGCGGGUUGCUGGGCCGACACUGACGCUGAUGCGCGAAAGCUAGGGGAGCAAACGGG
RNAcentral lists this ribosomal RNA (254 nucleotides) under uncultured bacterium. RNAcentral's name for it is "partial 16S ribosomal RNA". It matches the Rfam family "Bacterial small subunit ribosomal RNA", at positions 524 to 776 of the family's 1533-position model. The record is from RNAcentral.